Molecule: ribosomal RNA, 1099 nt
Filed under: Stenotrophomonas maltophilia
Lineage: Bacteria; Pseudomonadati; Pseudomonadota; Gammaproteobacteria; Lysobacterales; Lysobacteraceae
Description: bacterial SSU rRNA
Rfam family: Bacterial small subunit ribosomal RNA
Source: RNAcentral
AGGCAUGGGGGGUGCUAUAAUGCAAGUCGAGCGAAUGAUGAGGAGCUUGCUCCUCUGAUUUAGCGGCGGACGGGUGAGUAACACGUGGGUAAUCUGCCUGUAAGACGGGGAUAACUCCGGGAAACCGGGGCUAAUACCGGAUAAUAAGAGAAGAAGCAUUUCUUCUUUUUGAAAGUCGGUUUCGGCUGACACUUACAGAUGAGCCCGCGGCGCAUUAGCUAGUUGGUGAGGUAACGGCUCACCAAGGCGACGAUGCGUAGCCGACCUGAGAGGGUGAUCGGCCACACUGGGACUGAGACACGGCCCAGACUCCUACGGGAGGCAGCAGUAGGGAAUCUUCGGCAAUGGGCGAAAGCCUGACCGAGCAACGCCGCGUGAGCGAUGAAGGCCUUCGGGUCGUAAAGCUCUGUUGUUAGAGAAGAACAAGUACGAGAGUAACUGCUCGUACCUUGACGGUACCUAACCAGAAAGCCACGGCUAACUACGUGCCAGCAGCCGCGGUAAUACGUAGGUGGCAAGCGUUAUCCGGAAUUAUUGGGCGUAAAGCGCGCGCAGGCGGUCUCUUAAGUCUGAUGUGAAAGCCCACGGCUCAACCGUGGAGGGUCAUUGGAAACUGGGAGACUUGAGUGCAGGAGAGAAAAGUGGAAUUCCACGUGUAGCGGUGAAAUGCGUAGAGAUGUGGAGGAACACCAGUGGCGAAGGCGGCUUUUUGGCCUGUAACUGACGCUGAGGCGCGAAAGCGUGGGGAGCAAACAGGAUUAGAUACCCUGGUAGUCCACGCCGUAAACGAUGAGUGCUAGGUGUUGGGGGGUUCCACCCUCAGUGCUGAAGUUAACACAUUAGCACUCCGCCUGGGGAGUACGACCGCAAGGUUGAAACUCAAAGGAAUUGACGGGGCCCGCACAGCAGUGAGCAUGUGUUAAUUCGAGCACGCGAGAACCUACCAGUCUUGACAUCCUUGACCACCUCUUAGAGAUAGAGCCUUUCCCUUCGGGGACAAUGACAGGUGGUGCCAUGAUGUCGUCAGCUAUUCGAAAUGUUGGUAAGUCGCCACGAGCAACCCUUGACUUAAGUUGCCAGCAUUCAUUUGGGCAUCUAG